AAACACACAAGCCAGUGAACCCUUCCGGCUGUUAUGAUUUCGAACAUUGUAGUUCCUAAUUUGCAAUGAUUAGAAUCUCGAGAUUUUCCUGUUUACUAUAAUCCUCCGAUGUUGAUGAUGAGGAAAUUGUCUGGAGGAACCUUUUGCCCUCUAAGGCUACUUUCACUCAGUUAUCCUUUUGAACUCAAACUUCAGAUCACCAGCCUAACUUACCAACAAGGGCACAUUCCACACGAAGUUUGUUGGUGUUCAUGCAGCGUGGCAACGUUCGAUGAUUUCUUAGUAUGAAUUCUCACAAAUAUUAUCGAACUCCUCAGCUUGAUGGGAUUUGUUUCUAAUUUGCGUCCUUAUUACUGGAUUAAAAAGGUAGAGAAGGUUUGAUUCCUUGAGUACGUGUAAGUCUGUAUCCGUUGGAAAGAGUUGAAAUAAAACUUAAGAAGAGACGACAAGUCGAAGAGGAGUAAAGAGAAGAACCAAAAAAGUACAUGCUGAACAAACCACUGUUUUGGAGGGAGAAAGGUAAACGCUUCAGGACAAUUCCUUCGAUAAAAAAACAAUGGCC
RNAcentral lists this long non-coding RNA (562 nucleotides) under Physcomitrium patens. Its description in RNAcentral is "long non-coding RNA (PPAT_LNC003288)". Lineage: Eukaryota; Viridiplantae; Streptophyta; Bryopsida; Funariales; Funariaceae. The record is from RNAcentral.